AGAGUUUGAUCCUGGCUCAGGACGAACGCUGGCGGCGUGCCUAAUACAUGCAAGUAGAACGCACAGUUUAUACCGUAGCUUGCUACACCAUAGACUGUGAGUUGCGAACGGGUGAGUAACGCGUAGGUAACCUGCCUAUUAGAGGGGGAUAACUAUUGGAAACGAUAGCUAAUACCGCAUAACAGUAUGUAACGCAUGUUAGAUGCUUGAAAGAUGCAAUUGCAUCGCUAGUAGAUGGACCUGCGUUGUAUUAGCUAGUAGGUAGGGUAAAGGCCUACCUAGGCAACGAUACAUAGCCGACCUGAGAGGGUGAUCGGCCACACUGGGACUGAGACACGGCCCAGACUCCUACGGGAGGCAGCAGUAGGGAAUCUUCGGCAAUGGGGGGAACCCUGACCGAGCAACGCCGCGUGAGUGAAGAAGGUUUUCGGAUCGUAAAGCUCUGUUGUUAAGGAAGAACGAGUGUGAGAAUGGAAAGUUCAUACUGUGACGGUACUUAACCAGAAAGGGACGGCUAACUACGUGCCAGCAGCCGCGGUAAUACGUAGGUCCCGAGCGUUGUCCGGAUUUAUUGGGCGUAAAGCGAGCGCAGGCGGUUAGAAAAGUCUGAAGUGAAAGGCAGUGGCUCAACCAUUGUAGGCUUUGGAAACUGUUUAACUUGAGUGCAGAAGGGGAGAGUGGAAUUCCAUGUGUAGCGGUGAAAUGCAUAGAUAUAUGGAGGAACACCGGUGGCGAAAGCGGCUCUCUGGUCUGUAACUGACGCUGAGGCUCGAAAGCGUGGGGAGCGAACAGGAUUAGAUACCCUGGUAGUCCACGCUGUAAACG
This 825-nucleotide ribosomal RNA is filed under the name uncultured bacterium. RNAcentral's name for it is "bacterial SSU rRNA". It matches the Rfam family "Bacterial small subunit ribosomal RNA", at positions 8 to 808 of the family's 1533-position model. The record is from RNAcentral.